Molecule: non-coding RNA, 375 nt
Filed under: Bacillus methanolicus MGA3
Lineage: Bacteria; Bacillati; Bacillota; Bacilli; Caryophanales; Bacillaceae
Source: RNAcentral
AUAAUAAGUAGUUGUUCCUCUUGAGGUAGUCGAAAGAGAGUCAGCAUGAAUACUGAUAAACGCAUCGUAAUGAGAUGAAUUUGCAAUAGCUGUUCUUUCACUCAGUUCGAGAAAAAUAUCCGUUGAACGGGUUAGUGUGACGAUGGCUCCCUUUUUUUCCAACUCAGCUUUUAAAAGCAGCGCUGUUGCGAGAUUCACAUCUUUUUCUCUUAAACCGGUCGGACCAAUUGCUCCUGUAUCUUUUCCACCAUGGCCGGCAUCAACGAUUAUCUUCUUGCCGGCUAAACCAUUCUGAAUAAUUUUAAUCGUCACUUUGUCUGGAUAAUUUCUAAUUGUAAAUGUAUAUCCCGGUUCAAAGGUAAUGACCCCGGACGG